AUUGAACGCUGGCGGCAUGCCUUACACAUGCAAGUCGAACGGCAGCACGGGUGCUUGCACCUGGUGGCGUGUGGCGAACGGGUGAGUAAUACAUCGGCACAUGUCCUGUAGUGGGGGAUAUCCCGGCGAAAGCCGGAUUAAUACCGCAUACGAUCUACGGGUGAAAGCGGGGGACCUUCGGGCCGCGCUCUAUAGGGUUGGCCGAUGGCUGAUUAGCUAGUUGGUGGGGUAAAGGCCUACCAAGGCGACGAUCAGUAGCUGGUCUGAGAGGACGACCAGCCACACUGGGACUGAGACACGGCCCAGACUCCUACGGGAGGCAGCAGUGGGGAAUUUUGGACAAUGGGCGAAAGCCUGAUCCAGCAAUGCCGCGUGUGUGAAGAAGGCCUUCGGGUUGUAAAGCACUUUUGUCCGGAAAGAAAACCUUGGCGCUAAUACCGUCGGGGGAUGACGGUACCGGAAGAAUAAGCACCGGCUAACUACGUG
Molecule: ribosomal RNA, 486 nt
Filed under: uncultured bacterium
Lineage: Bacteria
Description: partial 16S ribosomal RNA
Rfam family: Bacterial small subunit ribosomal RNA
Source: RNAcentral